RNAcentral lists this ribosomal RNA (449 nucleotides) under uncultured bacterium. RNAcentral's name for it is "partial 16S ribosomal RNA". It matches the Rfam family "Bacterial small subunit ribosomal RNA", at positions 29 to 523 of the family's 1533-position model. The record is from RNAcentral.
AACGGACGCUGGCGGCAGGCUUAACACAUGCAAGUCGAGCGAGGCCUUCGGGUCUAGCGGCGGACGGGUGAGUAACGCGUGGGAACGUGCCCUUCUCUACGGAAUAGCCCCGGGAAACUGGGAGUAAUACCGUAUACGCCCUUUGGGGGAAAGAUUUAUCGGGGAAGGAUCGGCCCGCGUUGGAUUAGGUAGUUGGUGGGGUAAUGGCCCACCAAGCCGACGAUCCAUAGCUGGUUUGAGAGGAUGAUCAGCCACACUGGGACUGAGACACGGCCCAGACUCCUACGGGAGGCAGCAGUGGGGAAUCUUAGACAAUGGGGGCAACCCUGAUCUAGCCAUGCCGCGUGAGUGAUGAAGGCCUUAGGGUUGUAAAGCUCUUUCAGCUGGGAAGAUAAUGACGGUACCAGCAGAAGAAGCCCCGGCUAACUCCGUGCCAGCCGCCGCCGUAA